RNAcentral lists this ribosomal RNA (385 nucleotides) under uncultured bacterium. RNAcentral describes it as "bacterial SSU rRNA". It matches the Rfam family "Bacterial small subunit ribosomal RNA", at positions 355 to 757 of the family's 1533-position model. The record is from RNAcentral.
UGGGGAAUAUUGGACAAUGGGCGCAAGCCUGAUCCAGCCAUGCCGCGUGAGUGAUGAAGGCCUUAGGGUUGUAAAGCUCUUUCGCUAGGGAAGAUAAUGACGGUACCUAGUAAAGAAGCCCCGGCUAACUUCGUGCCAGCAGCCGCGGUAAUACGAAGGGGGCUAACGUUGUUCGGAUUUACUGGGCGUAAAGCGCACGUAGGCGGAUUAGUAAGUUAGGGGUGAAAUCCCAAGGCUCAACCUUGGAACUGCCUUUAAUACUGCUAAUCUAGAGAUCGGGAGAGGUGUAUGGAACUCCUAGUGUAGAGGUGGAAUUCGUAGAUAUUAGGAAGAACACCAGUGGCGAAGGCGAUACACUGGCCCGAUACUGACGCUGAGGUGCGAA